Molecule: ribosomal RNA, 253 nt
Filed under: uncultured prokaryote
Description: partial 16S ribosomal RNA
Rfam family: Bacterial small subunit ribosomal RNA
Source: RNAcentral
UACAGAGGUCCCAAGCGUUGUUCGGAUUCACUGGGCGUAAAGGGUGCGUAGGUGGUGAGGUAAGUCGGAUGUGAAAGCUCGGAGCUCAACUCCGAAAUGGCAUUGGAAACUACCUUGCUCGAGGGUUGGAGGGGGGACUGGAAUUCUCGGUGUAGCAGUGAAAUGCGUAGAUAUCGUGAGGAACACCAGAGGCGAAGGCGGCUACCUGGACAAUUACUGACGCUCAGGCACGAAAGCGUGGGGAGCAAAAGGG